UACGAAGGGGGCUAGCGUUGCUCGGAAUGACUGGGCGUAAAGGGCGCGUAGGCGGCUUGCAGCAGUCAGGCGUGAAAUUCCUGGGCUCAACCUGGGGACUGCGCUUGAGACGUGUGGGCUUGAGUGGGGAAGAGGGUCGUGGAAUUCCCAGUGUAGAGGUGAAAUUCGUAGAUAUUGGGAAGAACACCGGUGGCGAAGGCGGCCUGCUGGGCUAUGGCUGACACUGAGGCGCGACGAGCGUGGGGAGCAAACAGG
This 255-nucleotide ribosomal RNA is filed under the name uncultured bacterium. RNAcentral describes it as "partial 16S ribosomal RNA". It matches the Rfam family "Bacterial small subunit ribosomal RNA", at positions 524 to 776 of the family's 1533-position model. The record is from RNAcentral.